Small nuclear RNA from Cynocephalus volans (Philippine flying lemur), 107 nucleotides. Lineage: Eukaryota; Metazoa; Chordata; Mammalia; Dermoptera; Cynocephalidae. The record is from RefSeq and is a predicted model, not a curated record.
GUGUUCGCUUCGGCAGCACAUGUACUAAAAUUGGAACGAUACAGAAAAGAUUAGCAUGGCCCCUGCACAGCGAUGACACACAAAUUCAAGGAGCAUUCCAUAAUUUU